UACAGAGACUGCAAGCGUUAUUCGGAUUCACUGGGCGUAAAGGGUGCGCAGGCGGACAAGUGUGUGAGGCGUGAAAGCCCGGGGCUUAACCCCGGAAUUGCACCUCAAACUACAUGGCUAGAGCAUUGGAGAGGGUAGCGGAAUUCACGGUGUAGCAGUGAAAUGCGUAGAUAUCGUGAGGAACACCAGAGGCGAAGGCGGCUACCUGGACAAUUGCUGACGCUCAGGCACGAAAGCGUGGGGAGCAAAAGGG
RNAcentral lists this ribosomal RNA (253 nucleotides) under uncultured bacterium. Its description in RNAcentral is "partial 16S ribosomal RNA". It matches the Rfam family "Bacterial small subunit ribosomal RNA", at positions 524 to 776 of the family's 1533-position model. The record is from RNAcentral.